GGACUACCAAGGCUAUGACGGGUAUCUGGUGUGAGAGCAUGACCAGACACAAUGGAACUGAGACACGGUCCAUACUCCUACGGGAGGCAGCAGUGGGGAAUCUUCCGCAAUGGGCGAAAGCCUGACGGAGCGACACCGCGUGGAGGAAGAAGGCCUUUGGUUGUAAACUCCUUUUCUGGGGGAAUAAAUGAUGAAGGUACUCCAGGAAUAAGCACCGGCUAACUACGUGCCAGCAGCCGCGGUAAUACGUAGGGUGCAAGCGUUAUCCGGAAUUAUUGGGCGUAAAGCGUUCGUAGGUGGUUAAACAAGUUUGUAGUUAAAUCUGGUCGCUCAACGAUCAACAUGCUACAAAUACUAUUUAACUAGAGAUUGGCAGGGGCAACUGGAAUUCCGCAUGUAGGGGUAAAAUCCGUUGAUAUGCGGAGGAACACCAAAAGCGAAGGCAGGUUACUGGGCCAUUUCUGACGCUGAGGAACGAAAGCGUGGGUAGCGAACAGGAUUAGAUACCCUGGUAGUCCACGCCGUAAACGAUGGAUACUCGAUGUAGUGAGGAAUCGACCCCUUGCUGUGUCCAAGCUAACGCGUUAAGUAUCCCGCCUGGGGACUACGGUCGCAAGAUUAAAACUCAAAGGAAUAGACGGGGACCCACACAAGCGGUGGAGCAUGUGGUUUAAUUCGACAAUAAACGGGGAACCUUACCAAGGCUUGACAUCUCCGGAAGCUUUUGGAAACAAAAGUGUGCCGUAAGGAACUGGAUGACAGGUGCUGCAUGGUCGUCGUCAGCUCGUGCCUUGAGGUGUUCGGUUAAGUCCGUAAACGAGCGCAACCCAUGUCCUAUGUUAAUUUUUCAUAGGAGACUGCCGGCUCCAAGUCGGAGGAAGGUAUGGAUGACGUCAGAUCAGCAUGGCCCUUAUGCCUUGGGCUACACACGUGCUACAAUGGCCGGUACAAUGAGCAGCGAACCCGUAAGGGGAAGCCAAUCUCAUCAAAGCCGGUCUCAGUUCGGAUAGGGGGCUGCAAUUCGACCCCUUGAAGCUGGAAUCGCUAGUAACCGCAAAUCAGCUAUGUUGCGGUGAAUAUGUUCCUGGGUCUUGUACUCACCGCCCGUCAUAUCAUGAAAGGUGGGAGUGCCCGAAGUCGCCUUAGCCCCUCGGGGCGGGUGCCUAAGGUAAAUCCACUGAUUGGGAUAAAGUCGAAACAAGGUAUCUGUAGGAGACCUGCGGAUG
Molecule: ribosomal RNA, 1226 nt
Filed under: metagenome
Description: bacterial SSU rRNA
Rfam family: Bacterial small subunit ribosomal RNA
Source: RNAcentral